This 299-nucleotide long non-coding RNA is filed under the name Salvia miltiorrhiza (redroot sage). RNAcentral describes it as "long non-coding RNA (SMIL_LNC010000)". The record is from RNAcentral. Lineage: Eukaryota; Viridiplantae; Streptophyta; Magnoliopsida; Lamiales; Lamiaceae.
CCGGGUUUAUUAAUCGCAAUAAGGAUUUAGUAAGAGAGCGAAUGCACGGGAACUAAUUACUAACAUCUAACAUGACUUUGCCCGAUCAAAAAAAAAAAAAAACAAUUGAAUUAAUAAUAAUUUAUAGCCUUAACUUUCAGCAAAUUUCAGUUUAUAGCCUCAAUUUUAAUUUAUUUUAUGUAUAGCCUAAACUUUGAAAAAUUAUAGCCACAAUUACACCAAAUUUAUAUUAAUAGUCUAUUAUUCAUCGUAAUUACAUCUAAAAUGAUUAUCAAUUGCCACAAAACUAGAGUCUAAUG